RNAcentral lists this ribosomal RNA (235 nucleotides) under uncultured bacterium. RNAcentral describes it as "partial 16S ribosomal RNA". It matches the Rfam family "Bacterial small subunit ribosomal RNA", at positions 99 to 334 of the family's 1533-position model. The record is from RNAcentral.
CGGACGGGUGAGUAACGCGUGGGUAACCUGCCUUGUACAGGGGGACAACAGUUAGAAAUGACUGCUAAUACCGCAUAAGCGCACAGUAUCGCAUGAUACAGUGUGAAAAACUCCGGUGGUACAAGAUGGACCCGCGUCUGAUUAGCUAGUUGGUAAGGUAACGGCUUACCAAGGCGACGAUCAGUAGCCGACCUGAGAGGGUGACCGGCCACAUUGGGACUGAGACACGGCCCAA